UGCGUAGAGANNNGGAGGAANACCGGUGGNGAAGGCGGCCCCCUGGACAAAGACUGACGCUCAGGUGNGAAAGNNNNNGGAGCAAACAGGAUNAGAUACCNNGGUANUNCACGCNGUAAACGAUGUCGACUNGGAGGUUGUUCCCUUGAGGAGUGGCUUCCGGANNNNNNGCGUUAAGUCGACCGCCUGGGGAGUACGGCCGCAAGGUUAAAACUCAAAUGAAUUGACGGGGGCCCGCACAAGCGGUGGAGCAUGUGGUUUAAUUCGAUGCAACGCGAAGAACCUNACCUACUCUUGACAUCCNGAGAACUUAGCAGAGAUGCUUUGGUGCCUUCGGGAACUCUGAGACAGGUGCUGCAUGGCUGUCGUCAGCUCGUGUUGUGAAAUGUUGGGUUAAGUCCCGCAACGAGCGCAACCCUUANCCUUUGUUGCCAGCGNUNCGGNCGGGAACUCAAAGGAGACUGCCAGUGAUAAACUGGAGGAAGGUGGGGAUGACGUCAAGUCAUCAUGGCCCUUACGAGUAGGGCUACACACGUGCUACAAUGGCAUAUACAAAGAGAAGCGACCUCGCGAGAGCAAGCGGACCUCAUAAAGUAUGUCGUAGUCCGGAUUGGAGUCUGCAACUCGACUCCAUGAAGUCGGAAUCGCUAGUAAUCGUAGAUCAGAAUGCUACGGUGAAUACGUUCCCGGGCCUUGUACACACCGCCCGUCACACCAUGGGAGUGGGUUGCAAAAGAAGUAGGUAGCUUAACCUUCGGGAGGGC
RNAcentral lists this ribosomal RNA (764 nucleotides) under Klebsiella planticola. Its description in RNAcentral is "Raoultella planticola partial 16S ribosomal RNA". It matches the Rfam family "Bacterial small subunit ribosomal RNA", at positions 687 to 1451 of the family's 1533-position model. The record is from RNAcentral. Lineage: Bacteria; Pseudomonadati; Pseudomonadota; Gammaproteobacteria; Enterobacterales; Enterobacteriaceae.